GACGAACGCUGGCGGCGUGCUUAACACAUGCAAGUCGAACGGAAAGGCCCUGCUUUUGUGGGGUGCUCGAGUGGCGAACGGGUGAGUAACACGUGAGUAACCUGCCCUUGACUUUGGGAUAACUUCAGGAAACUGGGGCUAAUACCGGAUAGGAGCUCCUGCUGCAUGGUGGGGGUUGGAAAGUUUCGGCGGUUGGGGAUGGACUCGCGGCUUAUCAGCUUGUUGGUGGGGUAGUGGCUUACCAAGGCUUUGACGGGUAGCCGGCCUGAGAGGGUGACCGGCCAAAUUGGGACUGAGAUACGGCCCAGACUACUACGGGAGGCAGCAGUGGGGAAUAUUGCACAAUGGGCGGAAGCCUGAUGCAGCAACGCCGCGUGCGGGAUGACGGCCUUCGGGUUGUAAACCGCUUUCGCCUGUGACGAAGCGUGAGUGACGGUAAUGGGUAAAGAAGCACCGGCUAACUACGUG
Molecule: ribosomal RNA, 468 nt
Filed under: uncultured bacterium
Lineage: Bacteria
Description: partial 16S ribosomal RNA
Rfam family: Bacterial small subunit ribosomal RNA
Source: RNAcentral